Micropterus salmoides (largemouth bass) is the source of this 958-nucleotide long non-coding RNA. RefSeq lists it as uncharacterized. The transcript is spliced from 2 exons. The record is from RefSeq and is a predicted model, not a curated record. NCBI's taxonomy places the organism in Eukaryota, Metazoa, Chordata, Actinopteri, Centrarchiformes, Centrarchidae.
GCGUCGCUCUGACAUUCAGACUUUAGACUCCAGAAGAGGACAGAGAGAGAGAGAGAAUGUAAUCACUUUCUAUUUUCUGACUUAUACUUUGAUGACUGGCUUUAUAACUUACUUUCUUGAAAGAAAAAAAAAAAUCAAGAAAUAAAAUCAAGAACAAAGUUGGUUUUAGUUCAGUAUGUGGAGAGAAAGAGGCUGACAGGAAGACAGAGAGACUCCAGAGAAAGAUGAGUUACUACCUUGUAGUUUUGUUGAAGCAUCAUUGGUUGUUGUUGUUUGUUUGUCACCCAACAAGCUGACACUGCUGGUAGGUUAUGUGUUUGAGUUAAACCUAUAGAGAGGCCCUGUCCUUUGAUUAUAAAUCAAAUCUGUCAGCUAGGGAGUGUGUAGUCGCUGUUUUUAAGGACUGAUUCUGGAGCAGCAUCAUGGAGCCUCCUCCAAAGCUGCCAGUGUUGAAAAGACAUCUUAUCUAAAUAAGAUAUAAGAUCCUCCAGAUUUAAGCUAAGAGCACAAGUCAUUUCAAUUCAGUCAGUUUAUUUAUUCUUCUUAUUUCACAGCAGGUCCAUCAGCCUCCACCUCUACCUCCAUCACUGGUUUCAUCCAGGAAGCUGACAGUGCUGGUCUACCUGUGGCUACUGAAGUGGAGAGCAGUACCAUCGUGGUACCAGCACACCUGUCUCUCCAGUUUCUGCUGCUCCAGUGGAUCCAGCUGACUGGACAUCAGGACUUAACGACCAGUUACACGUUGAUGUGGUGAGCGGUAAAACCAGCACAGGUUGACAGAGACAUUUAGACUUUUCCAAAAAGACACUCAGACAGUAAAAGUCUUUUCUAUCAUUACAUGUUUAGAUCACUCAUAAAGAAGCAGGUUGAGAAAAUGAUGCUGUCAGCUGUUUCCUAGUUUUUGUCUCUUAAACUCUUGUUUGGCUGUUAUUAAAGAUUUAAGCUUUGGUCAUAAUCA